Molecule: ribosomal RNA, 608 nt
Filed under: Actinomycetales bacterium A268
Lineage: Bacteria; Bacillati; Actinomycetota; Actinomycetes; Actinomycetales
Description: bacterial SSU rRNA
Rfam family: Bacterial small subunit ribosomal RNA
Source: RNAcentral
CAUGCAAGUCGAACGAUGAACCACUUCGGUGGGGAUUAGUGGCGAACGGGUGAGUAACACGUGGGCAAUCUGCCCUUCACUCUGGGACAAGCCCUGGAAACGGGGUCUAAUACCGGAUACCACUACCGCAGGCAUCUGUGGUGGUUGAAAGCUCCGGCGGUGAAGGAUGAGCCCGCGGCCUAUCAGCUUGUUGGUGAGGUAAUGGCUCACCAAGGCGACGACGGGUAGCCGGCCUGAGAGGGCGACCGGCCACACUGGGACUGAGACACGGCCCAGACUCCUACGGGAGGCAGCAGUGGGGAAUAUUGCACAAUGGGCGAAAGCCUGAUGCAGCGACGCCGCGUGAGGGAUGACGGCCUUCGGGUUGUAAACCUCUUUCAGCAGGGAAGAAGCGAAAGUGACGGUACCUGCAGAAGAAGCGCCGGCUAACUACGUGCCAGCAGCCGCGGUAAUACGUAGGGCGCAAGCGUUGUCCGGAAUUAUUGGGCGUAAAGAGCUCGUAGGCGGCUUGUCACGUCGGGUGUGAAAGCCCGGGGCUUAACCCCGGGUCUGCAUUCGAUACGGGCUAGCUAGAGUGUGGUAGGGGAGAUCGGAAUUCCUGGUGUAGC